UCCGAGUUGACCCCGGCAGUCUUCGAUGAGUCCCCGCCAUCACGCGCUGGCAACAUCGAACGAGGGUUGCGCUCGUUGCGGGACUUAACCCAACAUCUCACGGCACGAGCUGACGACAGCCAUGCAGCACCUGUGUGUCGGCUCCCUUUCGGGCACGCCUCCGUCUCGGGAGGCUUCCGACCAUGUCAAGGGUAGGUAAGGUUUUUCGCGUUGCAUCGAAUUAAUCCACAUAAUCCACCGCUUGUGCGGGUCCCCGUCAAUUCCUUUGAGUUUUAACCUUGCGGCCGUACUCCCCAGGCGGGGAACUUACUCCGUUAGGUGCGGCACCGGCGGUAACCCGCCGACACUUAGUUCCCAUCGUUUAGGGCGUGGACUAC
Molecule: unclassified non-coding RNA, 377 nt
Filed under: uncultured bacterium
Lineage: Bacteria
Description: contains 16S-23S intergenic spacer region
Source: RNAcentral